Molecule: long non-coding RNA, 541 nt
Filed under: Physcomitrium patens
Lineage: Eukaryota; Viridiplantae; Streptophyta; Bryopsida; Funariales; Funariaceae
Description: long non-coding RNA (PPAT_LNC000266)
Source: RNAcentral
AGCAUCCAAGUACUAUUUUCUUAAUAUCUUAAGAAUCCAAUACUCAAAUGUUAUAAAACUUAUGUAAAAAGCUUAUUCUUAUGAAAUUAUACAUUUCCUGAAAUUUUGAGCCAAAACCUUAUCAAAUUGCUCAAGAUAUAGCUCAAGACACAACCACUAGUAAAUCGGAUCACUUAUUAAAAGAAUUCAAAAGAAAUCAACAAUAAACCUUAAAAGAAUUCCUAAGAAAUCAUAAAGAAAUAUAAGAAUAAUUACAAAUAUAUCUUAAAUAAAUCUUAACCAAAUCUUAAUUUAAUCCUAGUUGAAACCUUAAUAGAUUUCAAUCAAAUCCUAGGCCAAAUCCUAAAUUCUAAAUAAAUCCUUAAUCCUAAAUCCUAAGCAAAUUCUUAAUCCUAAAUCCUAAACAAAUCAUAAAUCCUAACUCUUAAGAAAAUCCUAAAUCCUAAAAAAAAUCCUAAACCAAAUCCUAAAUCUUAAUUCAUUUCUAAACUCUAACCAAAUUUUAACUAAGUCCUAAGUAAAUCUUAAAUCUUAAUCUAAU